CCUACGGGUGGCAGCAGUGGGGAAUCUUGCACAAUGGGCGAAAGCCUGAUGCAGCGACGCCGCGUGGGCGAAGAAGGCCUUUGGGCCGUAAAGCCCUGUCGGGAGGGAAGAAGGAAGCGACGGUACCUCCCAAGGAAGCCCCGGCUAACUACGUGCCAGCAGCCGCGGUAACACGUAGGGGGCGAGCGUUAUCCGGAAUCAUUGGGCGUAAAGGGUGCGUAGGCGGCCUUUUAAGCGCGGGGUCUAAGGCGGUGGCCCAACCACCGUUCGCCCCGCGAACUGGAGGGCUAGAGUGUCGGAGAGGGAAGCGGAAUUCCUAGUGUAGCGGUGAAAUGCGUAGAUAUUAGGAGGAACACCAGUGGCGAAGGCGGCUUCCUGGACGAAGACUGACGCUGAGGCACGAAAGCGUGGGGAGCGAACAGGAUUAGAUACCCCGGUAGUC
Molecule: ribosomal RNA, 442 nt
Filed under: uncultured bacterium
Lineage: Bacteria
Description: partial 16S ribosomal RNA
Rfam family: Bacterial small subunit ribosomal RNA
Source: RNAcentral